RNAcentral lists this ribosomal RNA (448 nucleotides) under uncultured bacterium. Its description in RNAcentral is "bacterial SSU rRNA". It matches the Rfam family "Bacterial small subunit ribosomal RNA", at positions 355 to 796 of the family's 1533-position model. The record is from RNAcentral.
UCGAGAAUUUUUCUCAAUGGGGGAAACCCUGAAGGAGCGACGCCGCGUGGAGGAUGAAGGCUUUCGGGUUGUAAACUCCUGUCAUUUGGGAACAAGGUAAUGCGGUUAACUGCCGCGUUAUUGAUAGUACCAGAAGAGGAAGAGACGGCUAACUCUGUGCCAGCAGCCGCGGUAAUACAGAGGUCUCAAGCGUUGUUCGGAUUCAUUGGGCGUAAAGGGUGCGUAGGUGGCACGGUAAGUCGGGUGUGAAAUCUCGGAGCUUAACUCCGAAAUUGCAUUCGAUACUGCCGUGCUCGAGGACUGGAGAGGAGACUGGAAUUCAUGGUGUAGCAGUGAAAUGCGUAGAGAUCAUGAGGAAGACCAGUGGCGAAGGCGGGUCUCUGGACAGUUCCUGACACUGAGGCACGAAGGCCAGGGGAGCAAACGGGAUUAGAUACCCCCGUAGUCC